This 148-nucleotide unclassified non-coding RNA is filed under the name soil metagenome. RNAcentral describes it as "partial internal transcribed spacer 1". The record is from RNAcentral.
CCGAGUUUACAACUCCCAAACCCCUGUGAACAUACCAAUUGUUGCCUCCGGCGGAUCAGCCCGCUCCCGGUAAAACGGGACGGCCCGCCAGAGGACCCCUAAACUCUGUUUCUAUAUGUAACUUCUGAGUAAAACCAUAAAUAAAUCA